GAAUAAUUCAAAUGCAGAUUGUGUUUCAAUAGUAUUUCAUUAAUGAAUAAUAGCAUAUAGUUAUCGGUCUAACUGUUUUCUGUUAACUGUUUCUGAAAUGUUUAAAUACAAGGAUGAAUCUAGAAUUUGGGUUUUCCUUUACAAGGUGCCCUAUGCUCAAAAUAUUUUGAAUUUUAAAAUGUAUGGCGCUCUUAUUUUUUUAACUUUAUCCAUGUAUAUAUAUUUUCCAGUCAUAUAAAUAUUCAAACUACAAUAAUCAAUACUGUUCAAAAUUGUUUACAAGAAAAUUACAAACUUAUAUAAUCAAUAAAGUUGCAUUCGAUAUACUAUACCUAGAAAAUUAAUAUAUUAUACUGUGAAGUAUAUCAUUAACCACUUCUAAUUCAUAAUUUAAUGCGUUAAGCAGCAAGAAAGUAUAUAAGAUACGCGAUAUCGCGGCUUUUGUAUAUUCAGCAAAAUGAACUUCUCUUGGGCACUACUUUUCAUGAUUGGAGCUGCAGUGGCAAGUUUUACAUUUGAGGCGGACCAGGCCCCCGGUGAUAUUCAAGAAUGAGCAGCAACACUAAUGGAAGCUCAAUACAAAUUGGUUUUAUAAAAGUAUGAGUAUAUCAUAAUAAACAAAGCAUACAUUUAUUUCAUAA
Drosophila albomicans is the source of this 641-nucleotide long non-coding RNA. RefSeq lists it as uncharacterized. NCBI's taxonomy places the organism in Eukaryota, Metazoa, Arthropoda, Insecta, Diptera, Drosophilidae. The record is from RefSeq and is a predicted model, not a curated record. The transcript has 2 exons.